GAUGAACGCUGGCGGCGUGCCUAAUACAUGCAAGUCGAGCGAACAGAUGAGGAGCUUGCUCCUCUGACGUUAGCGGCGGACGGGUGAGUAACACGUGGGUAACCUACCUAUAAGACUGGGAUAACUUCGGGAAACCGGAGCUAAUACCGGAUAAUAUAUUGAACCGCAUGGUUCAAUAGUGAAAGACGGUUUUGCUGUCACUUAUAGAUGGAUCCGCGCCGCAUUAGCUAGUUGGUAAGGUAACGGCUUACCAAGGCAACGAUGCGUAGCCGACCUGAGAGGGUGAUCGGCCACACUGGAACUGAGACACGGUCCAGACUCCUACGGGAGGCAGCAGUAGGGAAUCUUCCGCAAUGGGCGAAAGCCUGACGGAGCAACGCCGCGUGAGUGAUGAAGGUCUUCGGAUCGUAAAACUCUGUUAUUAGGGAAGAACAAAUGUGUAAGUAACUAUGCACGUCUUGACGGUACCUAAUCAGAAAGCCACGGCUAACUACGUG
Molecule: ribosomal RNA, 497 nt
Filed under: uncultured bacterium
Lineage: Bacteria
Description: partial 16S ribosomal RNA
Rfam family: Bacterial small subunit ribosomal RNA
Source: RNAcentral